Molecule: long non-coding RNA, 2043 nt
Filed under: Mytilus galloprovincialis (Mediterranean mussel)
Lineage: Eukaryota; Metazoa; Mollusca; Bivalvia; Mytilida; Mytilidae
Source: RNAcentral
AUAAAAAUUGCAUAUAAAUUUGAUAAAAUAUUACAUAAUCCAAGGAUUUGUGUAUACAAAUCCUUGCAUAAUCUGACAAAACCUAUCACAAAGCUUCAUGGGGCUAGGAUGAAAAACUUUGUCCUGCCUUUUUUUUAGUUGUAAUCUCUGUCCUGCCUUUUUAUUUUUCACUCUAUUCGGUCCUGCAUUUUUUUUAUUAGUAUAUCCGGACUUUUUUUUUUUACAUAAAUUGUCAUCAUGCCUUUUUUUUUUUAACUCAAAACUCCUGUCCUGCCUGUUUUGUCAAAUUUCAUCCUAUCCCUCAAUAAAAAUUAAAUGGUAACUCCCUUAAAGUUAAUUUGAUUACAUAUGGCGUUGUCACAAUGUCAAUAAUCUUGGUGCUAGUUUUUAACAUUUAAAUUAUUUGACUUCAAUAAUCACACAAGGUAUUCAGAUCCAAAAUCCGCGGAGGGAUCCGAAACAUGAGGAGCAAUUACACGAGAAUGCAUUCGGUGGACAGGUAAAAUCUGGAUCCGAUUCGGUUCCAGAUUUUACUUCGCUGCCGUUUGCGUCCUCGUAUAAUUGCUCCUCGGGAUUCAAAUCUUUCCGCGGAUUUCAGAUUGGGAUACCCGGUGUGACAAUUGAAUCAAGCAAACUACUGCAACACAUUAGUUUAGAAUGUCUUUAUUUUGAAGCAAACAAUGAAUGUUAAAUUGUAAUGUAAAAAAAACAACAACAUGAUUUUCAAAAGACUGUCUUAAAUUCUUUUAUUUUGUGUUAGUUCAUACCAUAAAAAAACCUAUGAGCAAGCAAAGUAAAAAAACUAUGGCCUAAAGUCAGAUAACUUCACAAAAGCUCUAAAGUUUAUGAACAGAGACCACAAUGCCCAUUUAGCAGCUAAGUAUGUCGAUUUGCAUGUUGAUGAAAAAUAAAAGUAUCAUAAAUCAUAAGCGCAUUGAAUGCUCUUUCUAAACAAAGUACAUAGAUUUUGAGAGUGAUCCGACUAGCCCUAAGCAUAAUACAUUUUCUCGAAAUAGACAAUCUUCAACAACUAAUUUUUUAGCGCAUUGGUCUAGGCAUUGUCUCGGGACUUUCAAUACUAAUAUGAAAAUUAAUAUAAUUAAAACUAAAAUUAUGCAUUGUUUUUAUGUGAAUUAUCUCUCGAUAAUCCUUUUUUUAAAUUAAACAAAUGAAAGUAAAACAUAUUUACAAAAGUAAUAACCCGUAAAAAAUCAAUAAUUUUUUGAACUGUUGAAGUCAUCACGAUUAUUGCGCAUAAGUGUUAAUUUAUUCCGUUAAAUUUCUUGAAAAACUCUGCUUAUACAUAUACUGUAAUAUAUACAAUCAUGGAGGUUGGUAAGUGAUAAUUUAGGUCCCAUAAAUUUAAUCCGGUAUUCUCUUUCUAUGUAAUAUUUAGAGGAAAAUGGUUGUUUUUAAUAAUACUACUCGCUUUACUUUACUUGACAGUUGAAAAAAAAAAUGGAUCAGUCUAAUUGAACGACGCCACACUCGCCACCACUUUCAAAAUAAUUUGCCCCUACUAAAUCAAUGAAAACUCGCCCCACCUGAAUUAUAUCACAGUUAUGAUAGUUUCUGAAAUCUUUCCACACACUUGACAUCACUUUCAAAAUUACCCCCAUUUAAAAAACGCAGCUUCCCAGUCUAAUAUUAAUAUAUUGAAUGCAAGUUAAAUAUUGCCUCAUUUCAGGGGACAAUAGAGAAUUUGUUGAAAAAAAUCCUUUUCACAAAGAAUAACAUAUCAGAUGUAGUCAUGAAAAUCAAGCUGAUACAUUUGCAAAUUAAUGGAAACAAGCAUUCUGAGAGUAUUGCAUGGCAAUACAUAGUCCCCUACCGCUUAAGAAUUCAUUGUACUGGAACAAAAUGCUACCUUGUUCUGUAACUUGACAUGGUAUAAACUAUAUAACAAAUAUCAAGUCAAUAUCUUCAAGCAUGACAAACAAAAAAUAUGUGGAAAACUGAUUAUUUGAGUGAAUUUUCUAAGUCCAAGAACCAUAACUCUGCACAAAAUCCUCAGACUGGAACAAAAUUCGAGCUUGAUCUGUA